GUUUCAAGAUUAUUUCACAUAUUCAAUUCAUCUUGUCGAUCCUGGACUAUGACCACAUGUUCCCUGUGGCAGGGUCAUCAACACCGACUAAUCUUCUUGCGGUGAGUCAUUCAGGACAAUCAAUUGCCAACGUAUCUGCCCCCAUUGGCGGGGACAUAGCCAGGUCGAUAGUUCAAUUAGUUCUCUAUUUCAUAUUUCAGUUAUAAAAACAUAAAGUGUCAAAACCAAAUAUCGUUCAUAUCUUAACCUCUUUCNNNNNNNNNNNNNNNNNNNNAAACCAAAUAUCGUUCAUAUCUUAACCUCUUUCAAUUUACCAGAUUCAACUCAACAGCCAAGGACUAUGACCACAUGUUUCCUGUGGCAGGGUCAUAUCACCGACUAUUCUUCUUGCGGUACCAAUGUAUUAGCCCCCAUUGGCAGGGUCCUCAACAUAGCUCGACUGCAAGUAUGAAUCUAUCUCAAGUCAUUAUCUUUUCUUACAUUAUGUUCAGUGUUUCAAGCCGAAAAAUACAAUGUCAGAGAAAUUAAAUACAAUUCAACCAGAAGCAAAUACGUCCAAUCAGAGUCAUACAAUAUUCUAAAAAUAUACAUAAUUCAAACCAGAAGCAAACACGUCCAAUCAGAGUCAUACAAUAUUCUAAAAAUAUACAUAUAAUCCAUGCAUCAAAUUCGUAAUCACAAAUAAUUCGAUUCGUAAAACAGAUAUUUACUUUGCCGAUAAAUCUAGUAAAGAGGUUACAUCACUUACCUUGCAAACGCGAUCCACAACAAAUCCAAUUAAUUCCGCAAAUCCCUCGCAGCACCUAAUAUUCAAAAACCAUAAUUUUCUUUUAAAAUUCAUCACAAUAUAUAUAUAAAACCUAAAUUUUAACAUUCUCCCAGGGCCGACCCUGCCGAAGUGUCUAGCACCCCGGGUUCAGGUUCGGAUCCGGGUUCAUACCCGUAAACCACCCUUCUUUUAUAUAUUUUAUUUUUUUUCUUUCUUUCUUUUCUUUUCUUUUUUUUUCCUUCUUCUUUCCUUUUUUUUUUUCUUUUCCCUUCUUCUCCCGAAUCCCCUCUUCUUCUUCGGCGAGACAGGGGACCCGUGAGCCCCCGCCCCCUCUUCUUCUUCCCUCUCGGUCGGACCCAAGGCAGCCGCGGUGGCUGGCCUUGGCAGCAGCAGGAGGUGGCGGAGCAAGCCCGGCCACCCCCGGCGACUGGCGGCGGCGAACACGCCGACGGCUAGGGCAGCCGUUUUGGAGCCAAAUCCGGCGAUCGGCCGGCCCCAACCCACCACACAUCGUGGCCAAGCUUCAGAAGAAAAGGAGAAGAAGGUGAGAGAUUCUUACCUCAGCCCCGACGAAGACCGGCGCCUCCCCCUCUCCGACGGAAAAGAAGAAGGAGACCACCCGCCACCCGGUGCCGUGGCUCCUCUCUCUCUCCCUCCUCUCCUCUCUCUCUCUCUCCCUCUCUCUCGGUGGCCACACGAAGAAGACCCUCCCCCCCUUUGCGUGCGGCGGCUCUCCUUCGGUGGGCUCAAANNNNNNNNNNNNNNNNNNNNNNNNNNNNNNNNNNNNCUCCUCCUUCUUCUUCGGGAUGGAGGUUCCAUCCCGCUGCCUCACGUGCGUUGCACGUGAGGCCAAGAUUUGGGACUGGGCCGGUCGAGUGGACCGGGCCCAGUUCCGGGUUCUUACA
This 1674-nucleotide long non-coding RNA is filed under the name Phoenix dactylifera (date palm). RNAcentral's name for it is "long non-coding RNA (PDAC_LNC008920)". The record is from RNAcentral. Lineage: Eukaryota; Viridiplantae; Streptophyta; Magnoliopsida; Arecales; Arecaceae.